AUGACAGGAGGGACGCUCUCGCAGCCUGCUCCAGACACCGUGUGCAGGCUCGCUUUCUGUCCAGGCCUCUUGUCUCUGCACGGCAGGAGCUGCGGUCUCGGUCUCUGUGGAAGCAAGGCUGUCUCAAAACAGAGAAAAGAUACACUACCUGCGGUGGGGGAGAUCCUCUCUGUGCACGCGGCUCUUGACUCCGGACGCGGAGGGGGCACGACGCCUGGCGCGGGACGCGGUCCUUGGGAGGCCAUUCCAGACUCCUCGGGGAGUGCUCUCUGCGGAGGCAAGCCUUGGGCCCGACGCCCGGGAAGCCGGCAGGAGCGAGGAAGGAUCCACGAUGUUGGUCGGCAUUCGGGGUGCCGCAGGAGGCGGCAUUCUGGGUUCGGACCUCUGGGAGGGGGAGAGGCCGGGGAAGGGAGACCUGCUCCUGGGAUAGCGUUCAGUGUCCCCGCGGCUCGUGGAGGGAAACACAGCGUCCACGGGGCCGCUGUCUGUGGGGCGGCCUCUGGGGCUGGGAGGGGCACGGGGCAAAAGGCCGGCCGCAGCAGGGGCGCUUUCUCGGAGGACUCUGGAGGCCCCGGGCUUGCUCUCAGAGCUCUGAGAGUCGCCGGCGCCCACCGCUACGCUUUCAGGGACCAGUCCAGUCAUUCUUGGGGCCAGUUUUGUCUCGUGGCACAGGGAAGGGACAAAGCCUGUGACCUGGGCGUCUCCCUCCACCUCCAGCCUGGUGAUUAUGGGCUUCCUCUUGGGGGAAGACAAGCCAGUGUCCGGACACUCGGUGGAGGGAGUGCUAAUGGGGGGGGGCAGGGCCUGUGCGGGCACAGUGCUCACCACGGGUUUGGUGCUCUGGGUCGAGGUGGCAGAGUUCGUGGACCCUGUGGAAGAGCCGCUGAUGGGGGGGGAGAGUCUUUCAGGGAAGACGCCCCCUUGAGGCUUGCUCUCAGUGGAGACAGGGGGGGUCUCGGCGCUUUCAGAGGCCAAGAUGUUUGCGGGUGGAGCCAGGGUCUCCGAGAGCAGCCCGGUGGCGGUGGGCUUGCUCUCUGGGGCGGCACAGGUCGUCUCUGA
This 1059-nucleotide long non-coding RNA is filed under the name Monodelphis domestica (gray short-tailed opossum). RNAcentral describes it as "lncRNA (ENSMODG00000029111.1)". Lineage: Eukaryota; Metazoa; Chordata; Mammalia; Didelphimorphia; Didelphidae. The record is from RNAcentral.